AGUAAUGUCUGGGAAACUGCCUGAUGGAGGGGGGUAACUACUGGAAACGGUAGCUAAUACCGCAUAACGUCGCAAGACCAAAGUGGGGGACCGUUCGGGCCUCAUGCCAUCAGAUGUGCCCAGAUGGGAUUAGCUAGUAGGUGGGGUAACGGCUCACCUAGGCGACGAUCCCUAGCUGGUCUGAGAGGAUGACCAGCCACACUGGAACUGAGACACGGUCCAG
Molecule: ribosomal RNA, 223 nt
Filed under: uncultured bacterium
Lineage: Bacteria
Description: partial 16S ribosomal RNA
Rfam family: Bacterial small subunit ribosomal RNA
Source: RNAcentral